GCACUAUUGGUGUAGUGGUAACAUGAAACCCUUCCAAGGUUUAGCUUCGGGUUCGAUUCCCGGAUGGUGCA
This is a non-coding RNA of Ochromonadaceae sp. CCMP2298, 71 nucleotides long. The record is from the annotation of a GenBank genome assembly. Lineage: Eukaryota; Synurophyceae; Ochromonadales; Ochromonadaceae.